This 28-nucleotide non-coding RNA is filed under the name Mus musculus (house mouse). The record is from RNAcentral. Lineage: Eukaryota; Metazoa; Chordata; Mammalia; Rodentia; Muridae.
UGCAUUGUUCCACAAUUACUAAGAUGGA